UACGUAGGGGGCAAGCGUUGUCCGGAAUCAUUGGGCGUAAAGCGCGCGUAGGCGGCCAGAUAAGUCCGGUGUGAAAGUCACAGGCUCAACCUGUGAAUGCCGCUGGAAACUGUCUGGCUUGAGUCCGGAAGGGGCGAGUGGAAUUCCUGGUGUAGCGGUGGAAUGCGCAGAUAUCAGGAGGAACACCGAUGGCGAAGGCAGGUCUCUGGGCCAUUACUGACACUGAGAAGCGAAAGCAUGGGGAGCGAACAGG
This 253-nucleotide ribosomal RNA is filed under the name uncultured bacterium. RNAcentral's name for it is "partial 16S ribosomal RNA". It matches the Rfam family "Bacterial small subunit ribosomal RNA", at positions 524 to 776 of the family's 1533-position model. The record is from RNAcentral.